UUGCUGUGAUGAUUGAUUCCUACCCAUUCAUAGUUUCCACCAAAAGCUUUGUGCUCAUAAUGGUUAAACUUCCUUGGAUGUCUGAGAAA
Molecule: small nucleolar RNA, 89 nt
Organism: Echinops telfairi (small Madagascar hedgehog)
Lineage: Eukaryota; Metazoa; Chordata; Mammalia; Afrosoricida; Tenrecidae
Gene: SNORD14
Rfam family: Small nucleolar RNA SNORD14
About the family: U14 small nucleolar RNA (U14 snoRNA) is required for early cleavages of eukaryotic precursor rRNAs.
Source: Ensembl